This 429-nucleotide ribosomal RNA is filed under the name Verrucomicrobiota bacterium. RNAcentral's name for it is "Verrucomicrobia bacterium partial 16S ribosomal RNA". It matches the Rfam family "Bacterial small subunit ribosomal RNA", at positions 355 to 776 of the family's 1533-position model. Lineage: Bacteria; Pseudomonadati; Verrucomicrobiota. The record is from RNAcentral.
UAGGGAAUCUUCCGCAAUGGACGAAAGUCUGACGGAGCAACGCCGCGUGAGUGAAGAAGGAUUUCGGUUCGUAAAACUCUGUUGUUAGGGAAGAAAAAAUGUAUAGUAACUAUAUACAAAAGAGACGGUACCUAACCAGAAAGCCACGGCUAACUACGUGCCAGCAGCCGCGGUAAUACGUAGGUGGCAAGCGUUGUCCGGAAUUAUUGGGCGUAAAGCGCGCGCAGGUGGUUUAGAAAGUCUGAUGUGAAAGCCCACGGCUCAACCGUGGAGGGUCAUUGGAAACUAAUAAACUUGAGUGCAGGAGAGAAAAGUGGAAUUCCUAGUGUAGCGGUGAAAUGCGUAGAGAUUAGGAGGAACACCGGUGGCGAAUGCGGCUUUUUGGCCUGCAACUGACAAUGAGACGCGAAAGCGUGGGGAGCAAACAGG